This 585-nucleotide ribosomal RNA is filed under the name uncultured bacterium. Its description in RNAcentral is "bacterial SSU rRNA". It matches the Rfam family "Bacterial small subunit ribosomal RNA", at positions 338 to 916 of the family's 1533-position model. The record is from RNAcentral.
CCUACGGGAGGCAGCAGUGGGGAAUUUUGGACAAUGGGCGCAAGCCUGAUCCAGCAAUGCCGCGUGAGUGAAGAAGGCCUUCGGGUUGUAAAGCUCUUUUGUCAGGGAAGAAACGGUUGGGGCUAAUAUCCUCGGCUAAUGACGGUACCUGAAGAAUAAGCACCGGCUAACUACGUGCCAGCAGCCGCGGUAAUACGUAGGGUGCAAGCGUUAAUCGGAAUUACUGGGCGUAAAGCGUGCGCAGGCGGUUUUGUAAGUCUGUCGUGAAAGCCCCGGGCUUAACCUGGGAAUUGCGAUGGAGACUGCAAGGCUUGAAUCUGGCAGAGGGGGGUAGAAUUCCACGUGUAGCAGUGAAAUGCGUAGAGAUGUGGAGGAACACCGAUGGCGAAGGCAGCCCCCUGGGUCAAGAUUGACGCUCAUGCACGAAAGCGUGGGGAGCAAACAGGAUUAGAUACCCUGGUAGUCCACGCCCUAAACGAUGUCUACUAGUUGUCGGGUCUUAAUUGACUUGGUAACGCAGCUAACGCGUGAAGUAGACCGCCUGGGGAGUACGGUCGCAAGAUUAAAACUUAAAUGAAUUGACGG